AAUCCGUAGAUAUCGGGAGGAAAACCAGUGGCGAAGGCGGCCCUCUGGAACAGAACUGACGCUGAGGCGCGAAAGCGUGGGGAGCAAACAGGAUUAGAGACCCUGGUAGUCCACGCUGUAAACGAUGGAUGCUUGGUGUGGGGGUCAAUAAGGAUCUCCGUGCCGAAGCUAACGCGGUAAGCAUCCCGCCUGGGGAGUACGGUCGCAAGACUAAAACUCAAAGGAAUUGACGGGGGCCCGCACAAGCGGUGGAGUAUGUGGUUUAAUUCGACGCAACGCGAAGAACCUUACCUGGGCUUGACAUCCCGCGCCCGCCCUAGAAAUAGGGUUUUCCCUUCGGGGACGCGGAGACAGGUGCUGCAUGGCCGUCGUCAGCUCGUGUCGUGAGAUGUUGGGUUAAGUCCCGCAACGAGCGCAACCCUUAUUGCCAGUUGCCACCGGGUUAUGCCGAGCACUCUGGCGAAACCGCGCGGGAUAACCGCGAGGAAGGUGGGGAUGACGUCAAGUCCUCAUGGCCUUUAUGUCCAGGGCUACACACGUGCUACAAUGGUCGGUACAAACCGUCGCAAACCCGCGAGGGGGAGCUAAUCGGAAAAAGCCGGCCUCAGUUCGGAUUGGAGUCUGCAACCCGACUCCAUGAAGCUGGAAUCGCUAGUAAUCGCGGAUCAGAACGCCGCGGUGAAUACGUUCCCGGGCCUUGUACACACCGCCCGUCACAUCACGAAAGUGGACUGCACUAGAAGCCGGCGUGCUAACCGCAAGGAGGCAACCGUCCAAG
RNAcentral lists this ribosomal RNA (778 nucleotides) under uncultured bacterium. RNAcentral describes it as "bacterial SSU rRNA". It matches the Rfam family "Bacterial small subunit ribosomal RNA", at positions 685 to 1461 of the family's 1533-position model. The record is from RNAcentral.